This 1150-nucleotide ribosomal RNA is filed under the name Apatinema mutabilis. RNAcentral describes it as "16S ribosomal RNA". It matches the Rfam family "Bacterial small subunit ribosomal RNA", at positions 402 to 1533 of the family's 1533-position model. Lineage: Bacteria; Bacillati; Cyanobacteriota; Cyanophyceae; Leptolyngbyales; Leptolyngbyaceae. The record is from RNAcentral.
UGAGGGACGAAGGCUUUUGGGUCGUAAACCUCUUUUCCCUGAGAAGAAGAUCUGACGGUAUCAGGGGAAUCAGCAUCGGCUAACUUCGUGCCAGCAGCCGCGGUAAUACGAGGGAUGCAAGCGUUAUCCGGAAUUAUUGGGCGUAAAGCGUCCGCAGGUGGCUCUGUAAGUCUGUCGUUAAAGAAUGGGGCUUAACCCCAUACAGGCGAUGGAAACUACAAGGCUAGAGUUUGGUAGGGGUCACGGGAAUUCCUAGUGUAGCGGUGAAAUGCGUAGAUAUUAGGAAGAACACCAGCGGCGAAAGCGCGUGACUGGGCCAGUACUGACACUCAUGGACGAAAGCUAGGGGAGCGAAAGGGAUUAGAUACCCCUGUAGUCCUAGCCGUAAACGAUGAUAACUAGGUGUUGCCCGUAUCGACCCGGGCAGUGCCGUAGCCAACGCGUUAAGUUAUCCGCCUGGGGAGUACGCACGCAAGUGUGAAACUCAAAGGAAUUGACGGGGGCCCGCACAAGCGGUGGAGUAUGUGGUUUAAUUCGAUGCAACGCGAAGAACCUUACCAAGGCUUGACAUGUCGCGAAUUCCCUUGAAAGGGGGAAGUGCCUUCGGGAGCGCGAACACAGGUGGUGCAUGGCUGUCGUCAGCUCGUGUCGUGAGAUGUUGGGUUAACUCCCGCAACGAGCGCNNNNNNNNNNNNUAGUUGCCAUCAUUUAGUUGGGCACUCUAGAGAGACUGCCGUUGACAAACCGGAGGAAGGUGUGGAUGACGUCAAGUCAGCAUGCCCCUUACGCCUUGGGCUACACACGUACUACAAUGCUACGGACAAAGGGCUGCCAACUCGCGAGAGUGCGCUAAUCCCAUAAACCGUAGCUCAGUUCAGAUUGCAGGCUGCAACUCGCCUGCAUGAAGGCGGAAUCGCUAGUAAUCGCAGGUCAGCAUACUGCGGUGAAUACGUUCCCGGGCCUUGUACACACCGCCCGUCACACCAUGGAAGUUGGCCACGCCCGAAGUCGUUACCCUAACCGUAAGGAGGGGGGCGCCUAAGGCAGGGCUGAUGACUGGGGUGAAGUCGUAACAAGGUAGCCGUACCGGAAGGUGUGGCUGGAUCACCUCCUUUUAGGGAGACCUUACCCUUCUAACUCUGAAUUGAGU